RNAcentral lists this ribosomal RNA (253 nucleotides) under uncultured bacterium. RNAcentral describes it as "partial 16S ribosomal RNA". It matches the Rfam family "Bacterial small subunit ribosomal RNA", at positions 524 to 776 of the family's 1533-position model. The record is from RNAcentral.
UACAGAGGUCUCAAGCGUUGUUCGGAUUCAUUGGGCGUAAAGGGUGCGUAGGUGGCUUGGUAAGUUUGAUGUGAAAUCUCCGGGCUUAACCCGGAAAUGGCAUUGAAUACUACUGAGCUGGAGGUUUGGAGGGGGGACUGGAAUUCUCGGUGUAGCAGUGAAAUGCGUAGAUAUCGAGAGGAACACCAGUGGCGAAGGCGAGUCCCUGGACAACACCUGACACUGAGGCACGAAAGCUAGGGGAGCAAACAGG